Solanum tuberosum (potato) is the source of this 1507-nucleotide long non-coding RNA. RefSeq lists it as uncharacterized. The transcript has 7 exons. The record is from RefSeq and is a predicted model, not a curated record. Lineage: Eukaryota; Viridiplantae; Streptophyta; Magnoliopsida; Solanales; Solanaceae.
GGGGAGUGUUAGAAUAGAAUAGGAAAACACAAUCGUACACAAACUAGGAAUAGUUUAUAGUCUCCUAUUUGGUAAGGAAUUGUAUUAUAUAGUGUCUAUAAAUAGGGUUCUCUAUGUAAUUAUUAAAACAACAAUUCAACAAUAUAUUCUUUCCUUAUAUUUCUCACAAAUACUUUAUGCUCUGAGGACAAUUGGAAAUAUCUCUAGUCAAGGAGGGUACUGGUCAGCUCCAUUCACCAGCCAAGAUGUCAUUACUAACCUCUGCUACAUAUUUAUGGCUUCUGGAAAGCAGGAGAACACGAGGCUGACAGCAGGGUCUUUCUUGGAUCGUCUUGUUCAUUUUUACCCUUUUAGUAUUCAACGGGUCAUGGAAAAACUUACAUUCAAGGAUGUGGUUUCAAGCCUGGACAAGCGUAAUCCACGAGAGCAACAAAUCUGCUUAAACAUUCUGAACAUGACCCUCCUUGAAAGUCAUACACUUCCAAGUGUUGGAAGGUACCUUCUUGCCUUGGUCGAAGAGAAGAAUCUUGUUCUGAAUCUGUUGACUCUCUCUAAUUGGGUAGGGUAGUGAUGUUUUGAAUGGAAAUGCACUCAUAUUUGUGGCUCUACUUUGUAUGAAUGGGAAGAGGUUGCUGCCACUAGUUUUUUGCAAUGCUAAAUUGCUCUCGACCGUUGAUAGGUUGGUUAUGGAGAAGAAUGACUUUGUGAAGCAGUGUAGAUGCCCUUGGGAUGGUUGUCGCAUAAACUGUACCAAGUUUGCUUGAGUGUAGGAGAUUUAGCAACUGAAGGGUGAUAAAUGCCGUGGGCAGAUAAUUAGCGUCACAAGUUGAAACUCUUCCAAGAAUAGUAUGCAUUUAUUUCAUGUUGAUCUCCAUCUUCUCGAGUGCCCUUCACUGAAAAGAAAGGUUGCUAGUCAUCAGGUUCUGCAACAGUUGGCAAAUCUGCUUAAACUGGUUGAGUUUCCAUUCUAGGAGAAUGCACAAACAAUUGUUGAAUAUUUAUCUUCCCAUCGACAAGUGAAGAAGGUCAAUUAUGCAGGUUCUUUGGCAGUGUUUAAGCAUGUUGCUGAGGCUACCAACUUCUUAAGCAUUACUGGCAGUUUUGGGGAAGAAGUUUUGCUAAACCUGAACUCAAAUCAUGCAUAGAAGAGUUUGCUGAAAAGUUGAAUAAAUUCGACAUUGAGAGGAAGGAACAAGAACUUACUGCCAAAAAUGCUCAAAGCCAUCAACAGAAAGUGGAGAACUUUGGAGAGCAUUAUUGUGACUAAAAAAGAAAAAGAGAAAAUCGAUGAAUCUAAAAUUACUGAAGAAUUCUCGGAGGCGCAUUUCGGUGGUGAAAUCUCGUCGUCGCUGGCUCGUUUGUUCCGGUUCGCUGCCAUCACAAGGCUAUGGGUGCAAGAUCGGUGGUGAGUUUUCUGACAGGUUCUUUGGCAAUCUUUAAGCAUGUUGCUGAGGCUACCAAGUACUCCAACAUUAUAGUCAGUUUUGGUUCCGGCAAGUGAUCCCUC